GGGACGACUUGUCGCUGAGGGUUGGGCUUUUAGUCCCUCUGGGUCUUUGCGUUGAGACCGUAUGUUCGCGUUUCUUGCACCUUUUCAGAGGCUCGUGUCUUUGUAGAAGAAGGUUUUAUUGGGAGGUAAAGGUCAAUGCAGAGCUGUAGUAUAAGAUGUCUUAUGGUGAAAUUUCUGAAGCCAAAUCCUUGGGGCAUGGGGAAGAACUAAUAAGUGAACCAUGCUAUAAAAAAUUGAAGUCAACCGAAGAGGCUUAUGUUUUCCCCCAUCAGGGUAGUGCUAAUUUUCACAGACUCCAAGAGAAAACUGGAAAUGAUUGGGUCCCUGUGACCACCAUUGAUGUCAGAGGACAUAGUUAUCCUCGGGAGGACAAAACCAAAACUACAGAUUUGCUGAAACCUGUGCGUAAUGAGAUACUUGAUAAUAGACCAGAUGUUACUGAAUCCGUUGAUUCACAAGUUUUACAAGAUACGAGUCCCCCAUUGAUAUCCAAAGAUGAUGAGAUAUAUAGCACAAGUAAAGCAUUUAUAGGACCCAUUUACAAACCCCCUGAGAAAAAGAAAUGUAAUGAAAGGAGGAAUCAAGCAGACACUAUCAAUGGUAUAGCCGGCAGAGGAGGACAAGAAGAGAAACAGAAAUUUAACUUCAAAAAAUCAGAGAUUGACAAUGAAUUAUUCCAAUUUUACAAAGAAAUUGAAGAGCUUGAAAAUGAAAAAGAUGAUUCAGAAGGCAGUUGUAAGGAACCCAAACCCUCUGAGGAACAACUUAUUACAUAUUAUCAGGGCCAUGAUAAUAAUCUGUUCAAGUCUGAAGAAGAAAAGAAAAGAGAUCCUAGUAAUGCUCUUGAGUCACAUUGUGGUUAUCAACAGUAUUUGGUGAAUGAACCAGGCAAAUAUCCUUGUAAUGGGCAGGUAAUACCUACAUUUUGUGACGAUUCAUUUACUUCCUUCAGGCCUGAAUGGCAAUCAGUGCAUUCUUUUAUAGUACCCCAAGGUCCUCCUCUUCCUAGUUUUAAUUAUCAUUUAAAUAUUCAAAGAUUCAAUGCUCCACCAAAUCCACUAUCAAAUAUCUUCCAUACCCAAGAUGGCUCUCAGAUGCGAAAUGGCUAUUAUGUAAAUAGUUGUCAUGUUAACUGGAAUUGUUUAACUUUUGAUCAGAACAAUGAAUAUACUGACUGUAGUGAGGGUACCAGUAGUGAUCGUCCCUCUAGAAAUGGCUACAGUGUGCAAGAUGGAUACGUGAGUAAUAGUUUUUGUGAAACCAGUGAAGGAUGCUGGAAAGAUCCUUCUAUGGACAAGCAUAAUGGAACAGAUAGGUUUACGAACCAGCAGUUUCAAGAGGAAAAAUUAAAUAAAUUGCAGAAGUUACUUAUUCUUUUAAGAGGCUUGCCUGGUUCAGGGAAAACAACGUUGUCUCGAAUUCUGCUUGGUCAGAGUCGUGAUGGCAUUGUGUUCAGCACUGAUGACUAUUUUCACCAUCAAGAUGGGUACAGGUAUAAUGUUAAUCAACUUGGUGAUGCCCAUGACUGGAACCAGAGCAGAGCAAAACAAGCUAUCAAUCAAGGGAGAUCUCCAGUUAUAAUAGACAACACUAAUACACAAGCUUGGGAAAUGAAACCGUAUGUGGAAAUGGCCAUAGGAAAAGGAUACAGAGUAGAGUUUCAUGAACCUGAAACUUGGUGGAAAUUUGAUCCUGAAGAAUUAGAAAAGAGGAAUAAACAUGGUGUGUCUCGACAGAAGAUUGCUCAGAUGUUGGAUCGUUAUGAAUAUCAAAUGUCCAUCUCUAUUGUAAUGAAUUCAGUGGAACCGCCACACAAAAGCACACAAAGACCUCCUCCUUCACAGGGGAGACAGAGAGAAAGAGAUUUGAAGAAAACUGGGUACAGGCUCAGCAAAACCAAACAGAAGAGAAACAGAAAAAGAAGUAAAAAGCAGAACAGUCAUCGUAAAAUUAUGGAGGAAAACUCAUUUGAAACCUUAAGUUAUCUUAGGCCAGGAGAUCAGGAUCCAUCUCAGAGUGAAGAGGAAGACUUAGAAAAGACCAAAAGAGAAUCCGGGUGUCCCUUCACUGAUGGUCUGGGAAACAAACUAGGAGAUUUAGUGAAUGGCCACAAAGAUGAAAGACAGAAAAAUAUAAGUCCUGAAGACAGUUUUCCAAAUGUUAUGUCUAUAGUUGAAUUGAACAAUACACCAAAGAAUUACCUCUCUAAGGAAGAGGAUGACUCGUUUCUAAGUUUGUCAUUGAUGCCAAAUGAAAACUCAGUUAUUUGUCCAACAGUGACUCAAAAUCUUUCCUGUGUAGCAAGUGAUGACUACUCUGGUAUGAAAGUAGAAAAGCAUGUUGGAAAUAGGCAUACCGUGGCGUUAGAGAUCCAAGAGCAAUUUGCUGAAACCCCGUGCUCAUUUAUGCAGAAGAGAGAAACGGUAGACAAACGUCUCCUGAAUGAAACAAUUCUGUGCCGUCAGUAUGGAUCCAGAACCUCAGAUAAAGUUUUAAGAAAGGAACCACGAGUAAAUACAACUAAAAACAAUUAUUGGACUUUUUUCUCAAACAGUUUAUCUGAUGAAGAAUUACAGCUGGGUUCUGAUAGACAGCCUUAUUUUGAUAGCUGGCCUGAGGGACCUCAUAAGUUUGUAUGUGAACAGAGACCAAAGAAAGAUAGACGGCAAAAGCUGGCCUGUCCUGAUAGCAGGGGGCAAUUGAUUAAAUUGAUCUCCACAUCUGAAGGAGCAUUAGGACCAGGAAGUCUAGAAAAAAUGGUAGAGGAGAAGCUAUUGAUAGAAAAUGAAGAUUUGUCACCUCCAACUGAGAAUAUAGACUCAAUCAUAGAAACAGAAACCAAUAUCUUCAGAAGCUACUUACUUAAACUGGAUAUCCCAAAGAGUGCCUUACACUCAACAAAGAAUAAGAAAAGGAGACAGAAAAGGAUUUUCAAUUUGGCACCAAACUUUAACUUACUGGGACAGAGUCAUAUCAGUAUAAAAGGAAAGGAGAAAUGUGGCUUGUUAACAGAAAUUCAUGGACUAAAAAUUAUUUUGGAAGAAGAAAAAGAUAGAAUUUUAGAAGUAAAUAAUGGAGAGGAGAAUAAGAAAAAACUUAUGACAUUCAAUCAUCAUCCAUCAUGGAUUUACUUUGAUAUCAAAGAUCCUCCUCUAAAUGGUGGUGGACCAUUUUAUUCUCAUUACCUGCCAUUUAAUAGACUGAGGCACUCUGUAUAUUUUUACAAAAACCCUAUUCCUUCUCUUGUGCUACAAUAUACAUCUAGCUUUUGGAAGAUAUCUUUUACAAGCAAGAAACCAUUUUUGACUUUCAAAUCUCCGACAAGAGUAGAUAACCAACUAAAUGACAUAGGGUUUAUUUCUUCAGAAAUUCUCAGUAGCCAACCUGAUACUUUGUACUCUUUUAGAGUCACUUCUGAUCUUCACUUUUUAAGUGAAAGGUUUGGUGAAAAGCCGAAGAUAUGGGAAGAACCCAAGCCGUUACAGUUCUUACAAACUGAGGAUAACCAGGAUUUAACAAGCGCUGACUUUGAUUCCCUUGAGCUACCAUUAUCACAAGGGUUUGCCUUUCAACUAGUAAAGCUUUUUGGAUCUCUUAGAGUCCCAGUGGAAUCUUUGUUGCCUGAUGACUGUGUGGUUCUCCUUGUCUGGAAGACACUGAAGAUGAUCUAUUUGCAAUGGAAGAUGUCAGUAGAGAAAAGACAGAAGAAGAUUGGUUGAAAAAUGAGAAUUCCUUGAACUCUGAAAGAAGAAGGACUAAAGAUUUGGGAGAAGAGUUUAGAGAUUUGGAGGGACCACUAGAAAAUGUGGGAUAAAUAAAAAAUGUGAGAUAAGAGGAAUUCCAGAAAGAAGUUGAAUUCUCCGGUCUUCCUGGUGCUGUUGAAGAUCCUAAUCAUCAAGAAGGAAUGCUCAGUGCUGACUCAAAGGAUUAUUUCCAGCGGUAUACUCAUUGGAUAUCAAAAUUGUUUUGGAUAAUCUGUCCAACCAUUCUUGAUUAGUUAUCUAAAUAAUAAAAACUCAACAAA
RNA transcript from Diceros bicornis minor, 4024 nucleotides. RefSeq lists it as uncharacterized. The record is from RefSeq and is a predicted model, not a curated record. Lineage: Eukaryota; Metazoa; Chordata; Mammalia; Perissodactyla; Rhinocerotidae. The transcript is spliced from 11 exons.